GAUCAUUACCAAACGAUUCUUUGGAUUCAGUUAGUAGCUUUUUGAUGCGGCGNAAGCCAAAUCGAGAAGUAGUUGGUUGACCGUAAUUAGGAGAAAUCCUUCCAGCUGCACUGAUUGGAUUCAGAGUUUAAUCAACCCCCUGUGAACUAUAAACCCGUACUGUUAUUGUCUUUUGGGUGGUACUGAAGCUGUUUACAGUCGAUGUGCUGCCCAGAAGCGAUAGCGCUUUAUUGAACUACUAAACGAAUUAUAUCUAUACGCAAAAUCUCUUUAUUAUUUAAUAAUAAUAAUUGACAACUUUUAACAGUGGAUCUCUAGGCUCGUGGAUCGAUGAAGAGCGCAGCAAAAUGCGAUACGUAAUGUGAAUUGCAGAAUUCAGUGAAUCAUCGAAUCCUUGAACGCAAAUUGCGGUGUUGGGUAUUCCCGGCACCAUGCUUGGUUGAGUGUCACUUAAUCUAACAAAAUUCAAUUUAUUUUGGGUAUUGUUACAGAUGAGGUUACGAGGCGUCUAUUUAAUAGAACUUCGAACCUUUAAUGACUAGCAAGACGCAUGACUUUUGAAGUUCAUUGCAGCUACUUGUGUGGCAAUAUUGUUUCGACAAUUUAAAGCGCAUGUUGGCUCAGUGGAUGUUAAUUCUUAAAUCAUUGCUGUUCUUACAAAUCUGACUCUAUAUGUCUUCGGACUUAGAAUUUUGACCUCAGCUCAAGCAAGACUACCCGCUGAA
RNAcentral lists this ribosomal RNA (725 nucleotides) under Sphaeroforma tapetis. Its description in RNAcentral is "eukaryotic LSU rRNA". The stretch from base 296 to 449 matches the Rfam family "5.8S ribosomal RNA". Lineage: Eukaryota; Ichthyosporea; Ichthyophonida. The record is from RNAcentral.